This 699-nucleotide ribosomal RNA is filed under the name Salmonella enterica subsp. enterica serovar Reading. Its description in RNAcentral is "partial 23S ribosomal RNA". It matches the Rfam family "Bacterial large subunit ribosomal RNA", at positions 493 to 1191 of the family's 2925-position model. Lineage: Bacteria; Pseudomonadati; Pseudomonadota; Gammaproteobacteria; Enterobacterales; Enterobacteriaceae. The record is from RNAcentral.
AACCAGUACCGUGAGGGAAAGGCGAAAAGAACCCCGGCGAGGGGAGUGAAAAAGAACCUGAAACCGUGUACGUACAAGCAGUGGGAGCACAGGUUUACCUGUGUGACUGCGUACCUUUUGUAUAAUGGGUCAGCGACUUAUAUUCUGUAGCAAGGUUAACCGUAUAGGGGAGCCGGAGGGAAACCGAGUCUUAAUUGGGCGUUAAGUUGCAGGGUAUAGACCCGAAACCCGGUGAUCUAGCCAUGGGCAGGUUGAAGGUUGGGUAACACUAACUGGAGGACCGAACCGACUAAUGUUGAAAAAUUAGCGGAUGACCUGUGGCUGGGGGUGAAAGGCCAAUCAAACCGGGAGAUAGCUGGUUCUCCCCGAAAGCUAUUUAGGUAGCGCCUCGUGAAUUCAUCUCCGGGGGUAGAGCACUGUUUCGGCUAGGGGGCCAUCCCGGCUUACCAACCCGAUGCAAACUGCGAAUACCGGAGAAUGUUAUCACGGGAGACACACGGCGGGUGCUAACGUCCGUCGUGAAGAGGGAAACAACCCAGACCGCCAGCUAAGGUCCCAAAGUCAUGGUUAAGUGGGAAACGAUGUGGGAAGGCCCAGACAGCCAGGAUGUUGGCUUAGAAGCAGCCAUCAUUUAAAGAAAGCGUAAUAGCUCACUGGUCGAGUCGGCCUGCGCGGAAGAUGUAACGGGGCUAAACCAUG